UAUGCGGUUAUUUUAUCCACUGCACCUUUUCAUUACUUAUUGGUUACUAUGCAGCUUACUGCUUUCAGAAGCUGAAGGCGUAUCGCCGGAACAUAUUGCAAGUGUCCAUGUGCAUAUUUAUAUACUUGAAUAUGUUUUUUAUAUGUGUUAUGUAUAUUUAUAUACAAAUGUAAGCGCAUUGGCAAUUUGUGGUGUAUAUAUGUAUAUGUUAUUUUAUCUAAGCCGAAUUUUUGCAUAUAAAUAAAUAAAAUCUGGAAUCGAUACAACUCAAUUUAUACCGCUUAAAGAGGUAUGGGAAUGUGUAUAGAUUGUGAGUUUAUAUUGCGUUUUCCGAUCCAAUUUAUUUGCUCCUAUUCUACAGGCUGCCAGCUGUUCUGUUGCUCGCUGUGCUUUGUUUCUGUUAUAAUGCAGCUGGAGGUGUGUAUAUUGUUGUUGUUAUUUUCGAGCCCGUUUUUGUUACAUUCACAUUAUGUUGAUUAUGUUAUGUUAAUGUUUAGUGCUUAGUUUACCGCCCGUUUGUUUUUGUAUUUAUGUUUGUUUUUUAUUUAUUUUUCUUCUGGACGAGUGAUACUUAUAUUGCAUACUUGUUUUGCACUGUUUCUUUCUUUUUGUUAUAAGUUUGUAUACUUAUAUGAUUGUGUAUAUUUAUACUCUCGCAACAAAAGUUGUUGUUUUAUUUAAAUAUUUUGCGCAGUUGUAUAUUUUAUUAUUGUGUUAGUCACUGCACAUUUAUUUUAUAAGAAUAUAUAUUCCGUUCACUGCAAUUAUUUUUUACUUUUCUUUUUGUAUUUCCGAAUUUUUGUCACCGCAUUUUAUGAUUUUAAUGUGUAUGUAUUUUAUUUGAUUUUUUGGUAGUAUCACCAAUAGUGCCUUUCAGUAAGGCUCGAAGGACCAUGAAUAAUAGGGUGCAUAGCCUCUCACUAGUUUUGGACGCACUCUGUUAAUAUCCAUAUAUGUACAUAUGUCCGAAAAACAAUGAAAGACGUAUAUUGUGCUAAUACAAUUUAUAAUAUUUGUCUUUAUUCGAUUUUAUAUGGUUUAGCUAAUUUUAUAUUUUAAAUGUUAGUUUUAUACAAAGGUUGUCGAUUUAAUCAACUGCUUGCUGCGGAUGGAUGGUGAAAAA
This is a long non-coding RNA of Zeugodacus cucurbitae (melon fly), 1123 nucleotides long. RefSeq lists it as uncharacterized. The record is from RefSeq and is a predicted model, not a curated record. NCBI's taxonomy places the organism in Eukaryota, Metazoa, Arthropoda, Insecta, Diptera, Tephritidae. The transcript has 2 exons.